This 253-nucleotide ribosomal RNA is filed under the name uncultured bacterium. RNAcentral's name for it is "partial 16S ribosomal RNA". It matches the Rfam family "Bacterial small subunit ribosomal RNA", at positions 524 to 776 of the family's 1533-position model. The record is from RNAcentral.
UACGUAGGGUGCGAGCGUUGUCCGGAAUUACUGGGCGUAAAGAGCUCGUAGGUGGUUUGUCGCGUUGUUCGUGAAAACUCACAACUCAAUUGUGGGCGUGCGGGCGAUACGGGCAGACUGGAGUACUGCAGGGGAGACUGGAAUUCCUGGUGUAGCGGUGGAAUGCGCAGAUAUCAGGAGGAACACCGGUGGCGAAGGCGGGUCUCUGGGCAGUAACUGACGCUGAGGAGCGAAAGCCAGGGGAGCGAACGGG